UUGCUCCAGCAGCACAUAUACAAAGAUUGGAACAGUACAGAGCAGCUUAGCGUGGCCCCCUGUGCAAGGAUGACCUGCAAGUUGGUGAAGUAGUCCAUGUUUUU
RNAcentral lists this small nuclear RNA (104 nucleotides) under Tursiops truncatus (common bottlenose dolphin). Lineage: Eukaryota; Metazoa; Chordata; Mammalia; Artiodactyla; Delphinidae. The record is from RNAcentral.